AGAGAGAGAGAGAGAGAGAGAGAGAGAGAGAGAGAGAGAGAGCGCAGUGAAAAGGUUACAGAGACUCUUCGAUGAUGGGUCAAGCUCCCAACCGUGGAAGCUAGUAAUCUCCAAGAGCAAAGGUUUUGACGAUGAAGCUCAAAUGAAAUGUCUUGUUUGGUUGAGUUUCUGAAAAUGGACCUGCCUGGCUCCCUGAAUGCCAUCUAAGAAGCAGCCUUUGCCAAAGACAGAGUUGGGUACUUCCUUAGUUGGCAUGAGGGGAGCCAUGCAGGCCCUAAUACAGGACAUCACACAUUACAAGCAGGCAAACUCAGGUCAUCAACAACCUAAGAUAAGUCAUUAAUUUCACCAACUUAAUUUCUCGUUCACUUCUCAUUAGCCAAUACGACUUAUCCUAACUUGCCUCCUUUGACAUGUAGGUCUCCCUUUGGAUGAGCUAAGCUUUUCUCAGCGACAUACAUAUAUUCUUUCCCGAGCCGAUGCAGUGUCAUAUGGAUACUUCCAGCAGAUGUGAAGGUUCGGAUUGAAGAUCCUCGUGAGACGGUCCACAUAAACCUUAGAGAAGCGAGGUGGGGCUUAAAAGCCCCACCUCAUUGCGGUUUUGACCCUCAAAUUGAACUGGACAAGAUGCUUUGCCCUACUUCCAAGUUCCAAUUCUUAUCUUUCAGGUCAUAUUCCUGUAAAGUUGGACGGAUUCUGGAAUGAGAUGAUGAUGAAUGGAAGAGACGACAGACGUGUAAUGCAGGGCGGUCUUGGCUAAGUGGACCCUGGCUUCCAGGCUUUUGAUGUGACUUAAGGUCUUGGUUUCAAGCGACAAAGCUGCUUCUCGGUACUAUAAAGAUCUUUCCCAUUUCGUGGACCGACUGUGUACAAGGAAUCCCCGAACAUAGCGUUGAGAUAGUUUUACGUGCAGCUUUUAUUUUAAGACUAAUGUGUUGUGCUAAGAAUCGUUAUGUUUUGAUAUGGUAAUAUGAAUAAAAUA
This is a long non-coding RNA of Syzygium oleosum, 982 nucleotides long. RefSeq lists it as uncharacterized. Lineage: Eukaryota; Viridiplantae; Streptophyta; Magnoliopsida; Myrtales; Myrtaceae. The record is from RefSeq and is a predicted model, not a curated record. The transcript has 4 exons.